AUACUUACCUUCUUGCGACUCACUGAGCUCAAGCAUUCAGUGGUCUGACAACGUCGCCUCCAUUGCACAGCGGGGUGUGGUGUUGUCAUGAAUCUCCUUCGGGGGCUUCAGCGGGGCAAUUUUUGCUGGUCUGCCACUGUGGCACC
RNAcentral lists this small nuclear RNA (146 nucleotides) under Pyrenophora teres f. teres 0-1. RNAcentral describes it as "U1 spliceosomal RNA". It matches the Rfam family "U1 spliceosomal RNA". Rfam says of the family: U1 is a small nuclear RNA (snRNA) component of the spliceosome (involved in pre-mRNA splicing). Its 5' end forms complementary base pairs with the 5' splice junction, thus defining the 5' donor site of an intron. The record is from RNAcentral. Lineage: Eukaryota; Fungi; Ascomycota; Dothideomycetes; Pleosporales; Pleosporaceae.